AUGUCCCCUAUCUUGUUUAACAUUGUGGUGGAUAUGUUAGCAAUUUUGAUAGGAAGGGCUAAGGAACAUGGUCAAGUAGGUGGUUUGAUACCUCAUCUUGUUGAUGGAGGUGUAUCCAUCCUUCAGUACGCUGAUGAUACAAUUAUCUUUAUGGAGCAUGAUUUGGCCAAGGCGAGAAAUAUGAAGCUUGUGUUAUGCCUAUUUGAACAAUUGACCGGGUUAAAGAUCAACUUUCAUAAGAGCGAGCUGUUUUGUUUUGGUAGAGCCAAAGACGAACAGGAGGCUUAUAGGCAAUUGUUUGGGUGCAAAUUGGGAGAGUUACCCUUCUCUUACCUAGGUAUUCCCAUCCACCAUCGUAGGCUGACAAACAGAGAGUGGAAGUGCAUCGAGGACCAAUUUGAGAAGAAACUGAGUUGCUGGAAGGGUAAGCUCAUGUCCUACGGAGGCAGAUUAAUCCUAAUAAAUUCGGUGCUCACGAGCAUGCCUAUGUUUCUCCUAUCGUUCUUUGAGGUACCAGUUGGUGUUAGGAAGAGACUGGACUUCUAUCGAUCGCGUUUCUUUUGGUAG
Molecule: ribosomal RNA, 567 nt
Filed under: Triticum aestivum (bread wheat)
Lineage: Eukaryota; Viridiplantae; Streptophyta; Magnoliopsida; Poales; Poaceae
Description: partial small subunit ribosomal RNA
Source: RNAcentral